Bombus impatiens (common eastern bumble bee) is the source of this 1015-nucleotide long non-coding RNA. RefSeq lists it as uncharacterized. The record is from RefSeq and is a predicted model, not a curated record. The transcript has 2 exons. NCBI's taxonomy places the organism in Eukaryota, Metazoa, Arthropoda, Insecta, Hymenoptera, Apidae.
UUUUUUUGGAAUAUUUUAUUCAUAAAAAGCAUGGAAUAUACAAAAGAUAAUAAAAAUCUAAAAUUAAAGGAGACAUCGAUACAAACAGUGGUAUUUAAAAAAUUACCUAGAAACUAAACGAACGGAAGUAGCAACAUCAUGAAGAGGCAGUAACCGAAGAAUCAUCUCCAAAACUUCCGGCGGAAGCGUGUCCAAUGCAUAGCCAUGACAACUUUGUUCUGCUAACGGGGAUAUUUCUGAUUCUUUCCGCGAUCCCUGAUAUUGAUCGCAGCUUAUAAUUGGUAUUUUCGGUCGCUUGUUCGCGUUCAUUUAAAAUUAGAACAUUAAAAAAGAAUAUAGAGUUAAAACAAAUUUUCCCUUUGAUGUCGAUGCUACUUUGCGCUUCUUUGUGUUCCUUCUUUUUUCCUUUACGUCGCCAGUGAUCUGUUAAACAGUUAAUUAUAUAUUUUCUCGUUGCAACAUUACUCUUUUUCGUUAAUUAAAUGUUGCCUCUGGGUAAAAAUUUUAUAAAACUAGGAAUGUCGGACAAAACAAAACAAACGAUACGUGGCUAUCGUUUGUAAUCGAGUUCUUCUUUCGAUAAUUGUAUUACAAUUUUCUACACAGGGUGUUUCAAUCUUCGUAUCCUCUAACAUAGAUUCCGCUUGUACAAUGAAGAGGAUAGCUUGGUAGUUGUGCUUAUUGAAAACAACAGAUGUUUCUUUUGCGAUCAAUUUAUUAGAUUAUGUACAAGUUGUACGUCAUUUUAAAGUCGAGAUUGUCUUUGGUUUGUGUGUCGUUCCGAUAAAUGAAAAUUGAAAAUAAUAUACAGCUCUGUCGAUCAUUAGACACCGACAUAUAGGAUAGGAACUUAAAAUUACUUAAAUUACAUGUAAUCAAUUAUGUACUUUAUAAUUAAGCAUAGCAAUUUUUUUCGAGUAUACAAUAGUUGCAAUUGUAGUUGCAGUUGUCACAUUGAUUGUACAUCUUCGAAUUUUUACAAUUACAUUGUAAAAUAAAUUGAAGAGAUUAAAUG